GCAAGUAGGUACAAGUUCAUGGAGUCACACUGUGACUGAGAGGUGGAAGAGGUGGUUGCUGCAGCAUAUCUGUGCAGGCCAUGCAGAGUGUGGGAGUCUGUGGGGGCAGCCAAGUAGAUUGUACUGUAUCUACCUCCCAUAGGGAGGUGGUAACCAGGAGGCAGUUGUAUAAAGCAGAUGCCUGGAUCAGCCACCACUCUGAGGAACUGGGAGGAGGUGGGGAACUGGAACUUGUGUCAAGGGAGACUGAGCCCUGCUUCUGAUAUGAGAAAGUUCAAUAUCUAUUCAAAAUGGAUUCUGAGGCAACGUGAAAUUAUAAGAAUUCACUACACAUACACACAUUAGACAUUUACCAUGAUAAUGAUGAGAGACGCUGAUAAAUGAGGUCUGUUUUAAAUUUAAGCUUUUCACCAGGGCAUUGUUUGAAUGGCUGUGUUUCUUGUAUCUUAGGACUCAUAAUGCCAGUGGCAUUUACUCUUUUAUGAGAAUGGGGUAUCAAUUAGUAAGACAGUAAAGCUUAAAUACAACAUUUAACAACAUUUAACAGUGUUACAAACAAACACAUUUAAAAAUCUUCAGGGUAUCUUUCCCUCUCAAGAACCUGAAUCUCUGUCAAGAGCCUACAUCACAUUAACAAUUAAGAUGAUAGUAGAAUCAACAAACUCCCCGUUACUAGUUCUGGUCACAUUUAUUUAGAUAUAAUAACAUCUACCUGUGUGCAUACAGUCAGAAUAUGACAAGAUGUAAUAAAUGUUGGUAUGAUAGCAGCUUCUAUGUAUGUGUGUGUAGCAGAGAUUCCAGCUUGAACUUAAAGUUCUAUAGUUUUAUUGACAAUUCCACCCUCGCCUGCCAUUGGAUUAUCAGGAGCUUGUCUUGGCACAAAUCCAGUCUCCCAAACACGCCCAGACAUGUUGAAACAAUGUAAUAUUCUACAGCUUGUAAUUUAGUAUAGUUAAUGGUGUUAGUCUUCUACAUAACAUACGUAUAAAAGUGAAAGGUUUUUCUUCUACUUUCUCCAGUAGAUCCUUUAUUUCCAUGUUGGUCUCUUUGUGUUACCAAAAGUUUAGAAAUUCAUAUAGGCCCUGGGACAGAAAAAUUAGUCCCUGGUUGGCCUAGUUUCCUUAGUAUUUUAGCUUAAUGAUUUAAUCCUGUAUUCCAUCAUUUUAUUUCAUUUUAUUUUAUUUUAUAUUUUAUUUUAUUUUCUGAGACGGAGUCUUGCUCUGUUACUCAGGCUGGAGUGCCGUGGCAUGAUCUUGGCUCACUGCAAUCUCCGCCUCCCAAGUUCAAGCAAUUCUUCUGCCUCAGCUUCCCGAGUAGCUGGGAUUAGAGGUGUGCACCACCACACCAGGCUAAUUUUUUUAUUUUUAGUAGAGAUGGGGUUUCGCCAUGUUGGCCAGGCUAAUCUCUAACUCCUGUCCUCAGAUGAUCUGCCUAACUUGGCCUCCCAAAGUGCUAGGAUUACAGGCUUUUAAUGUAUUCUUUUAAUUCCGGAACUUGGUUCUGAUUUAGCCAUCUAACUACUAGGAAGUACUUUUGAAGUAUAAUACUGCAAGGAGACAUAGACCAAAGAAAGGCAUCACACACAGGAUUUUCUGUUUGGAGAUUUGCAAAAUACAAUAGAAGCCUGAUUAAAUGAUUAAUGGGACAGAAUAUAAUAUAUCUAAAGAAUGCACUCAUUAAAAGUUUCUGCACAAAUGAGUUAGAUAGCUUACUCCAGUGUCUUACUCAAAGGAAAACAUUCUAAUGCAUUCACAGACAUACACGCACACAAAAGGAAUCCAAACUGAUGACAGAUGGAUGCAAUUGCUAUUGGGAAAGAAGUGGCAGUUUUAAUAGUUCAUUAUGAUGAUUUCAUUCAAAAUAUAGUACUAGGAUGCUGAAAUUUUUAAAUGACAUGUUACACCAUCAAAUUUCCCAAAAACACAACAGGAAUGCCUUGGAGAUAUUGCCGAUUCAGUCCCAGAUCCCAAAAUGUGACACAGAGACAUGAAGUGAGCUCAUGCUGUUGGGCAAAUGGCACCAAUAGACUUCCUCACUGCAGGGUUGCUACAGAUCUUCAACUUGUAAAAAACACAAUACCUUACUCCUGCAAGAAACGCCAUAGUAAAAAUGAAAUUUAAAAAAAAAGGAGAUUGGCAUGUUAGAUAUGAGUUCUAAAUUUCUUCUCAAAGAAUCAAUAUGUCAGUAUGUUCAAUUCUUUGCCUUCUACUUUUAAACUUAACUUCCUUAUAAAGGGACUUUUUUCAAUUACUUGCUCCACCCUGACUCAUUUC
This 2273-nucleotide long non-coding RNA is filed under the name Homo sapiens (human). RNAcentral's name for it is "HSALNT0077160". The record is from RNAcentral. Lineage: Eukaryota; Metazoa; Chordata; Mammalia; Primates; Hominidae.